CCUACGGGUGGCAGCAGUGAGGAAUAUUGGUCAAUGGACGAGAGUCUGAACCCGCCAAGUAGCGUGAAGGAUGAAGGAUCUAUGGUUUGUAAACUUCUUUUAUAUGGGAAUAAAGUGAGGCACGUGUUCGUUUUUGUAUGUACCAUAUGAAUAAGCAUCGGCUAACUCCGUGCCAGCAGCCGCGGUAAUACGGAGGAUCCGAGCGUUAUCCGGAUUUAUUGGGUUUAAAGGGUGCGUAGGUGGGUAAUUAAGUCAGUUGUGAAAGUUUGUGGCUCAACCGUAAAAUUGCAGUUGAAACUGGUUGACUUGAGUACAGUUGAGGUAGGCGGAAUGCGUGGUGUAGCGGUGAAAUGCUUAGAUAUCACGAAGAACUCCGAUUGCGAAGGCAGUUCACUAAACUAUAACUGACACUGAGGCACGAAAGUGUGGGGAUCAAACAGGAUUAGAUACACUAGUAGUC
This 460-nucleotide ribosomal RNA is filed under the name uncultured bacterium. Its description in RNAcentral is "partial 16S ribosomal RNA". It matches the Rfam family "Bacterial small subunit ribosomal RNA", at positions 338 to 795 of the family's 1533-position model. The record is from RNAcentral.